CAGCAGCCACGGGAAUACGAGGGGGACAAGCGUUGUCCGGAAUUAUUGGGCGUAAAGGGCUCGCAGGCGGUUUCUUAAGUCUGAUGUGAAAGCCCCCGGCUCAACCGGGGAGGGUCAUUGGAAACUGGGAAACUUGAGUGCAGAAGAGGAGAGUGGAAUUCCACGUGUAGCGGUGAAAUGCGUAGAGAUGUGGAGGAACACCAGUGGCGAAGGCGACUCUCUGGUCUGUAACUGACGCUGAGGAGCGAAAGCGUGGGGAGCGAACAGGAUUAGAUACCCGUGUAGUCCCUGUCUCUUAUAC
This 301-nucleotide ribosomal RNA is filed under the name uncultured bacterium. RNAcentral's name for it is "partial 16S ribosomal RNA". It matches the Rfam family "Bacterial small subunit ribosomal RNA", at positions 509 to 807 of the family's 1533-position model. The record is from RNAcentral.